Molecule: ribosomal RNA, 309 nt
Filed under: uncultured bacterium
Lineage: Bacteria
Description: bacterial SSU rRNA
Rfam family: Bacterial small subunit ribosomal RNA
Source: RNAcentral
GACGAACGCUGGCGGCGCGCCUAACACAUGCAAGUCGAACGGGGUAUUGAGAGCUUGCUUUUGAUACCUAGUGGCGGACGGGUGAGUAACACGUGAGCAAUCUGCCCUUGUGAGGGGGAUAACGUCUGGAAACGGACGCUAAUACCGCAUAACAUACUGAGAUCGCAUGGUUUUGGUAUCAAAGAAUUAUCGCACAAGGAUGAGCUCGCGGCUGAUUAGCUAGUUGGCGGGGUAAAUGCCCACCAAGGCGACGAUCAGUAGCCGGACUGAGAGGUUGAACGGCCACAUUGGGACUGAGACACGGCCCAG